This 484-nucleotide ribosomal RNA is filed under the name uncultured bacterium. RNAcentral describes it as "partial 16S ribosomal RNA". It matches the Rfam family "Bacterial small subunit ribosomal RNA", at positions 28 to 507 of the family's 1533-position model. The record is from RNAcentral.
AUUGAACGCUGGCGGCAUGCUUUACACAUGCAAGUCGAACGGCAGCGCGGGCUUCGGCCUGGCGGCGAGUGGCGAACGGGUGAGUAAUGCAUCGGAACGCGCCCAGUCGUGGGGGAUAGCCCGGCGAAAGCCGGAUUAAUACCGCAUACGACCUGAGGGUGAACGCGGGGGACCGAAAGGCCUCGCGCUCUUGGAGCGGCCGAUGUCGGAUUAGCUAGUUGGUGGGGUAAAGGCUUACCAAGGCGACGAUCCGUAGCUGGUCUGAGAGGACGACCAGCCACACUGGGACUGAGACACGGCCCAGACUCCUACGGGAGGCAGCAGUGGGGAAUUUUGGACAAUGGGGGCAACCCUGAUCCAGCCAUGCCGCGUGCGGGAAGAAGGCCUUCGGGUUGUAAACCGCUUUUGUUCGGGAAGAAAUCCUCUGGGCUAAUACCCCGGGGGGAUGACGGUACCGGAAGAAUAAGCACCGGCUAACUACGUG